Molecule: transfer RNA, 67 nt
Filed under: Hapalogenys nigripinnis (short barbeled grunter)
Lineage: Eukaryota; Metazoa; Chordata; Actinopteri; Lobotiformes; Hapalogenyidae
Description: tRNA-Cys
Rfam family: tRNA
About the family: Transfer RNA (tRNA) molecules are approximately 80 nucleotides in length. Their secondary structure includes four short double-helical elements and three loops (D, anti-codon, and T loops).
Source: RNAcentral
AGCUCUGAGGUGCUUAGCAUGUUAGAUUGCAAAUCUGAAGGAGCAGGCUAGCUGCCUGCCGGGGCUU